Molecule: ribosomal RNA, 500 nt
Filed under: uncultured bacterium
Lineage: Bacteria
Description: bacterial SSU rRNA
Rfam family: Bacterial small subunit ribosomal RNA
Source: RNAcentral
AGAGUUUGAUCCUGGCUCAGGACGAACGCUGGCGGCGUGCCUAAUACAUGCAAGUCGUGCGGACCUUUUAAAAGCUUGCUUUUAAAAGGUUAGCGGCGGACGGGUGAGUAACACGUGGGCAACCUGCCUGUAAGACUGGGAUAACGCCGGGAAACCGGGGCUAAUACCAGAUAGUUUUUUUCUCCGCAUGGAGGAAAAAGGAAAGGCGGCUUCGGCUGCCACUUACAGAUGGGCCCGCGGCGCAUUAGCUAGUUGGCGGGGUAAUGGCCCACCAAGGCAACGAUGCGUAGCCGACCUGAGAGGGUGAUCGGCCACAUUGGGACUGAGACACGGCCCAAACUCCUACGGGAGGCAGCAGUAGGGAAUCUUCCGCAAUGGACGAAAGUCUGACGGAGCAACGCCGCGUGAGUGAAGAAGGCCUUCGGGUCGUAAAACUCUGUUGCCGGGGAAGAACAAGUGCCGUUCGAACAGGGCGGCGCCUUGACGGUACCCGCCAGAAG